GUGAGUCAUCGAGUCUUUGAACGCACAUUGCACUCCUUGGUAUUCCGAGGAGUAUGCCUGUUUCAGUAUCAUGAGCACUCUCACACCUAACCUUUGGGUUUAUGGCGUGGAAUUGGAAUGCGCCGACUGUCAUGGUUGGCCCUUCUAAAAUGUAGUUCUUGGCUGUCACCUAAUACAGCAGUUUGGCCUAAUAGUUUUGGCAUUCAUUGUCAAAUCUUUGGCUAACAUUUUGCCUCCAGGAGUCGAGUCUUGAUAAUAACAGAAAACUUCAAUUUCAAAUUUGAUCUAAGUAAAGUUCAGGGUAGGCUACCCCGCUGAAACUUUAAGCAUAUCAAUAAGCGGAGG
Molecule: ribosomal RNA, 345 nt
Filed under: uncultured fungus
Lineage: Eukaryota; Fungi
Description: eukaryotic LSU rRNA
Rfam family: 5.8S ribosomal RNA (bases 1-71)
Source: RNAcentral